Non-coding RNA from Ciona intestinalis (vase tunicate), 1579 nucleotides. NCBI's taxonomy places the organism in Eukaryota, Metazoa, Chordata, Ascidiacea, Phlebobranchia, Cionidae. The record is from RefSeq and is a predicted model, not a curated record.
CAACAAAUCAACUUAGGCUGUGCUUGCUUCUUUUUAGCCAGAUCUGAAAUUCUUGGAGCAGUCUUUGCAAGAGCACAACACAGAUCAUCAUCUGCAUCAAGUCUGCUCCUGUAUUUAGAUUUGAUAACCAACAAGCUUGAAAAGCCUGUUUCACAAAGGUAUGUUGUUGGAAAAGGAAGAAUCAGGCGCAAUGCGAUCUCAGACAGAACGGGAUAUGACUGCAAACUUUUGAUCCAAAAUUUGGUAACUGACAUUGAAGAAAAAUUAGUUUUUGCUGCAUCGCUGGUAAUGAGUUCAAUGAACUCCUCUUGUGCUAGGCUUGCCACACGUCCCAGUUUUGCCGGGACAGUCCCGAUUUUAAGGCCUUGUCCCGGCGUCCCGGCCGGUUAACGAGUUUGUCCCGGAAUUUUUAAUUUAAGAUGUGCAAAUAAAAAAACUGUUACAAGAGUUACACGCAUGUUGCGUUACACACGUUUUACGUCACAGACAGCAUUAUUUGCCAGUGAAUGUCUACGUGUGGUGAUGCAAUCACAAAUCAACCGGUUCUGCAGCGUGCUAUUUAUUUUGUACUUUUUUAGCAUUAUGCCCAAAAGAAAAUGUAAGUUUACAGAUGAUCUACAGCGAGAAUUUUCGUAUUUAAAAGACCAAGGUCAUGGUAAAUUGCUUUGUAAUAUUUGUCUAUCCGUGUUUUCAAUCAGCCACGGUGGCCGUUCUGAUGUUAAAGAUCAUUUAGCUACCAAAAAGCACAAAGCUUCUAUUGAAGCAGCUGCAUCCUCAUCUUGUGUGUCAUCCUUCUUCAAAACUACAUCCUUCUUCAAAACUUUACCUGCCAAUAACCACAUUCCAAGUCCAGUGUGCUAAACCAUUUCGAACCCCCGAGAAAAUCUAUAGUGUCGUCAAUGCGCGGUAAAGGAUACGUGUCUUUCCGGGUCACCGAAUUGAGCGCUCGGAAAUCGACGCAAAACCUUGCUGAACCAUCCGGCUUUUUAACUAGCACAACCGGGGAACUCCAAGGACUAUGAGAUGGCUCAAUUACCCCUCGCUCUAACAUCUUGGUGAUUUCCGCCUCCGCAGUGGCCCGUUUACCCCAUGCCAUCCUUCUCGGUGGUACGCGGAUGGGAUGAGCGGUACCCAUAUCAAUAUCAUGGUUCACAAUAGUCGUCGAACCAAGUUCGCUACCGGGGGAAACUUUCUGUUUAUGGAUGCACCACCUGCUACAAUGGCUUGGUCGGCAAGGGCUGCAGGUGAACGUGCAUACAGUUCAAUCGCCCAACGUACAACAUCUGGGUGAAAACGUCUUAUAUUUGGAGAUGCUUUUGCAUUCUGACAUUGAUUCAAAAAGAACAUUUUCUGCCACUUGUUCAUCUCUUUGUUUUCUGUUUUGUACAAAUCUUGAAAGUAUAACACAAAAUAAUUUGUUGUUUUUGAUGCAUUUAAAAGUACACUUACAAGUAUAUCACGGUGUGUGCCUUCAUCAGUGCUUAAAAGAUUUUCAUCUUGAACUUUUUUCAUUGCAGAGUAUUUUUUAUUAUAUGUAGUUUUAAUAUCAAACCGACAGCAUUAGUAGCACUUUUGCAUU